UCGCUGUGUGUUACAAGUGUCACACGGAACUGCCGGUCAUAAACCGGAGGAAGUGGGGAUGACGUCAAGUCAGCAUGGCCUUUAUAUCCUGGGCUACACACACGCUACAAUGGGAAGGGACAAUAGGUUGCGAAACCGCGAGGUGGAGCCAAUCCAGCAAAACUUCCCUCAGUUCAGAUUGCAGGCUGCAACUCGCCUGCAUGAAGUUGGAGUUGCUAGUAAACGCAGGUCAGCCAUACUGCGUUGAAUACGUUCCCGGGGCUU
RNAcentral lists this ribosomal RNA (264 nucleotides) under uncultured Anaerolineaceae bacterium. RNAcentral describes it as "partial 16S ribosomal RNA". It matches the Rfam family "Bacterial small subunit ribosomal RNA", at positions 1105 to 1382 of the family's 1533-position model. The record is from RNAcentral. Lineage: Bacteria; Bacillati; Chloroflexota; Anaerolineae; Anaerolineales; Anaerolineaceae.